Molecule: long non-coding RNA, 1220 nt
Filed under: Oryzias sinensis (Chinese medaka)
Lineage: Eukaryota; Metazoa; Chordata; Actinopteri; Beloniformes; Adrianichthyidae
Description: lncRNA (ENSOSIG00000009490.1)
Source: RNAcentral
AUUUAAUACUUUUUGGAACGGUACUUCAAAACUUUGAAAGAGGUUUAAAGUUAUCCAGAUUAUCAAAUCCUUAGAUCUGACUCUGAUCAAUUAUUCUUAUGCUGGUUUUUCAAAACUUUGCUGGAUCAAAUUCGCUCGAAUGGCCACUGGGCCUUAAUAAAUUCACCUCUUUGAAGUUGAACUUCAGUUAGAUCAUGCUUGUUGUUGUUUUAUGAGAUAUCGAGUCAUUAGAGCUUAUCUAACCCACCACUUUCCCCCAUUUUUGUUGUUGUAGGUAGGAAUUCUGCAAACCCAGAAUUUGUCUUUCAGUCUGCUUUUUUAAAAACAUUGGCUUUCAGGUAAAACAAAAAACAAUAACAUAUUAAUUUAUAAAGUCACGUGACAUAUUUAGUUACUGCGUUGCAGGGAUUGUUGCAUCACAACCUCACCAGACAGUCAGUAAUGAUGGAAAACCUCUCAAACACAUUGUUUUUGGAGUGUUUUUUGUUUUUAUCACUUUGACAAAUUAAACUCUUAAAAGCGUACACAUUUAGCUGUCUUUGAUCCAUCAACACUAGUUUGUCAAAAACCUUCCUGCUGAAUUAAUAGACUGCAGGGAUUUCUGCUGGAGUCCAACACAUCACAACCGUUGUUUGUUUGGGGUCUUUGACGUGACCAAACCCGGGAAUCCCCCAAAGCUCCAUCCAGCCAAAGACGCACAGGGUUAAUUUUAAGCCCCCACCACCACCACCCACACCUUCCAUUUGAAAGCCGCCUCUCUACCGGGAGAGGAAGGCUCUUUUUCGGUCAGAUGGCGUGCUGCAGUCCGCCCCCGUCAUUCUCCAGCCCACACAGACAGCAAAAGGCAGCCAGCAACCAAUACGUUGCGCCGGAGGAGGAUUUCUGCCAGCGAUUCCGGCGAAAGGGAUUUACUACGACAAUCCGAGCCGCGGACGAGGACGGAGAGAGACUCACCUGGAAGGACUGCUCUGUGUUUAUUCACAACUUCAUUGACUAAAAAAAAAAAAAAAAAAAGGUAAAAAAAAAUGUCCUGCAUUGGUUUUUUCCACAUCAUUUUUAUUUCUUUGAUUUAAUUUUUGUUAAAUGCAUGCAUGUACAAACUGAAUAAAUGACUGUUAUUUAACUUUCAUCAUUAUGGAUUUUUAUUUGUCAUAAGCAGUUAUAAGAACUACUUUCUUGUGGAGGAUUUUUCAGUUCACCUUCAUGUUUCCCGCGCCUAU